GACGUAGGGGGUAAGCGUUGUUCGGAAUUAUUGGGCGUAAAGAGCUCGUAGGCGGUGUGUCACGUCGGCCGUGAAAACCUGCAGCUUAACUGUGGGCGUGCGGUCGAUACGGGCAUCACUGGAGUUCGGCAGGGGAGACUGGAAUUCCUGGUGUAGCGGUGAAAUGCGCAGAUAUCAGGAGGAACAACGGUGGCGAAGGCGGGUCUCUGGGCCGAUACUGACGCUGAGGAGCGAAAGCAUGGGUAGCGAACAGG
This 254-nucleotide ribosomal RNA is filed under the name uncultured bacterium. RNAcentral's name for it is "partial 16S ribosomal RNA". It matches the Rfam family "Bacterial small subunit ribosomal RNA", at positions 524 to 776 of the family's 1533-position model. The record is from RNAcentral.